GUGAGGAAUUUUCCGCAAUGGGCGAAAGCCUGACGGAGCAAUGCCGCGUGAAGGAUGAAGGCCUAUGGGUUGUAAACUUCUUUUCUCAGAAAAGAAUUAUGACGGUAUCUGAGGAAUAAGCAUCGGCUAACUCUGUGCCAGCAGCCGCGGUAAGACAGAGGAUGCAAGCGUUAUCCGGAAUGAUUGGGCGUAAAGCGUCUGUAGGUUGUUUAAAAAGUAUUCUGUCAAAGAUUAGGGCUUAACCCUAGAUAGGCAGAAUAAACUUUUAAGCUAGAGUUUGGUAGAGGCAGAGGGAAUGCCAGGUGGAGCGGUGAAAUGCGUAGAUAUCGGGAGGAACACCAAAGGCGAAGGCACUCUGCUGGGCCAAUACUAACACUGAGAGACGAAAGCGAGGGGAGCAAAUGGGAUUAGAAACCCGUGUAGUCC
Molecule: ribosomal RNA, 426 nt
Filed under: uncultured bacterium
Lineage: Bacteria
Description: partial 16S ribosomal RNA
Rfam family: Bacterial small subunit ribosomal RNA
Source: RNAcentral